This 496-nucleotide ribosomal RNA is filed under the name uncultured Mycobacteriales bacterium. RNAcentral describes it as "bacterial SSU rRNA". It matches the Rfam family "Bacterial small subunit ribosomal RNA", at positions 554 to 1049 of the family's 1533-position model. The record is from RNAcentral. Lineage: Bacteria; Bacillati; Actinomycetota; Actinomycetes; Mycobacteriales.
CUGGGCGUAAAGAGCUUGUAGGCGGUUUGUCGCGUCGUCUGUGAAAUUCUGCAACUCAAUUGUAGGCGUGCAGGCGAUACGGGCAGACUUGAGUACUACAGGGGAGACUGGAAUUCCUGGUGUAGCGGUGAAAUGCGCAGAUAUCAGGAGGAACACCGGUGGCGAAGGCGGGUCUYUGGGUAGUAACUGACGCUGAGGAGCGAAAGCGUGGGUAGCGAACAGGAUUAGAUACCCUGGUAGUCCACGCCGUAAACGGUGGGUACUAGGUGUGGGUUCCUUUUCACGGGAUCCGUGCCGUAGCUAACGCAUUAAGUACCCCGCCUGGGGAGUACGGCCGCAAGGCUAAAACUCAAAGGAAUUGACGGGGGCCCGCACAAGCGGCGGAGCAUGUGGAUUAAUUCGAUGCAACGCGAAGAACCUUACCUGGGUUUGACAUACACCAGACGCCGGCAGAGAUGYCGGUUCCCUUGUGGYUGGUGUACAGGUGGUGCAUGGC